RNAcentral lists this ribosomal RNA (465 nucleotides) under uncultured bacterium. RNAcentral's name for it is "partial 16S ribosomal RNA". It matches the Rfam family "Bacterial small subunit ribosomal RNA", at positions 28 to 507 of the family's 1533-position model. The record is from RNAcentral.
GACGAACGCUGGCGGCGUGCUUAACACAUGCAAGUCGAACGGAAAGGCCCUGCUUGCCGGGUACUCGAGUGGCGAACGGGUGAGUAACACGUGGGUGAUCUGCCCUGCACUUCGGGAUAAGCCUGGGAGACUGGGUCUAAUACCGGAUAGGAGCCAUUUUUAGUGUGAUGGUUGGAAAGUUUUUUCGGUGUAGGAUGAGCUCGCGGCCUAUCAGCUUGUUGGUGGGGUAAUGGCCUACCAAGGCGGCGACGGGUAGCCGGCCUGAGAGGGUGGACGGCCACAGUGGGACUGAGAUACGGCCCAGACUCCUACGGGAGGCAGCAGUGGGGAAUAUUGCACAAUGGGCGCAAGCCUGAUGCAGCGACGCCGCGGGGGGGAUGACGGCCUUCGGGUUGUAAACUCCUUUCGCUAGGGACGAAGCUUUUUGUGACGGUACCUAGAGAAGAAGCACCGGCUAACUACGUG